UAUUCCUUUUAACUCAGGCCAAUGGAGAAUAAUAAUUUAUAUUCAAGUGCCCAGUUCAUUUCUCGAGAAUGUGCCGAACGUGGAAUAAUUAGUUGCUGAUGUCAUCGCUAAAAUCAGCCAACAACAAAAACUCGUUCCCACUGUUUAUUUUUUAAAUUUCUAGUCAUCAAGAUUCAAGAAGGAAGCACGUAAAUCUUACGUAUAUUUAUAUGCGAAAUCUGUCCUUGAAGUUCUGGCUAUUAUGGCGUCUUUAAUUUUCGAACCAAAAAUGGGCAUAAUAAGUUGCAAUCAAUAAAUUAUAAAUGUAUAUAUUAUAUAUUAUAUGUGUAUAACACUGAAUUAUAUGUUUCACUUUGUUCUUUGACUUUGUAAUAUUGUCUACUGCUGAAAAUGACUUUAAAGUUUAAUUUGUAAAAUAAAAUAAUGUUUAGCAGGUAAGAAAAAAAUCCGAUAUAAAUAUAUAUCCGAAUACAUUUAUGCCCAAACCCAUAUAAUAUCUUAAAUUUUAAUAUAUAGGUAGUUUAUUUUUCAUGGGUCAACUAUAUAUUAACCAUAUAAUAUGUAAAUAUAUUCACAUUACAAAGGAAUUUAAUUGAAUUGGAAAUGUCAAUAUAAGAUUACGACUUAGUAUUUACAGUAGUAAUUUUAUACCCAGCUGAUGCCACUGUUAUAGCCUAUAAUAACAGCGAACAUUGGAGACAGCAUGAUUGUGACUUUAUCUCUCCAGAUGAUGGCAGAAUCCGAGCGGACCCGAGAAACAUAAUAUUUUCUGUCGUGUCAAAUAUGAAUUGAGGAUGAACAAUUCCGUAGACGGAUGAGGCGUGUCACACGAUUCAAAAUCAUUGAGAGAAAUUUCGGUCCUUCAAACAGAAGUGUGGUCACUACCCGCUGGUCAAGCCGUCAAGGUUAUAAAAGUUGUUCUUGUAAAAGAACAUGUGAUACUAUUAUACUAAUAUAAGUUUAAUAGCCAAUAUAGGUGUAAGUAUGUAACUGUGUAAGUAUAUAAAUAAUCCAAUGUUGCAUUUUGUGCCAUACAAAAUAUCAUGAAAGUAUAAGUGCAUGUAACGUGUACAAUUUAAUAAUACUUUGUUUUCUAUCAAAAAUAUUUUUGUGCAUAUUUUUUUAUUAUGUUUUCGAGUACCUACCUAGGUACAUUUAAUAAAAACCAUAAAUUUAAUAUAAUUAAAAUUAAUUUAGUUCUAUAUAGGUAUAUUGACCAUUAAAGAUUAAACGUGAUAUUCUCUGACAUUCCGACAUGGUCAUGAUUAGGGUUAGGGACUUCAUGCCCUUAAAAACCUUAAAAUAUGCAUGCAUUUAUGCCCUAAAGAAUCAAAAAAUAUGCUUUUAAAAUAU
This 1353-nucleotide long non-coding RNA is filed under the name Acyrthosiphon pisum (pea aphid). RNAcentral's name for it is "uncharacterized LOC115034512, transcript variant X1". The record is from RNAcentral. Lineage: Eukaryota; Metazoa; Arthropoda; Insecta; Hemiptera; Aphididae.